UGAAAAAGAAUCCUCUACUGCUACACUCAGCAACAUAGGAAUCUCACAAACAGAGUGAUGAGUUUAAAAAGCAGCAGAGUUCAUUUCCUGGCAGCUCCACACCAGCAGAGAGCCUGUGCUGCUGGGGGGACUUCAGAGGACCCUUGAGGCCACCAAAGACAGCUCCCUUCUGAGUCACGGAAAGUCAAUUGAUCAGGAACUGUAACUGUAUCUGUACAGUCCCUUCCCUUUUGCACUUUCUAUGGUGAAUACACGUUACAGGUCUCACUCACACUCACAGAAAGAUUUCAGAGAGGAGACACAGAGGUCAAGAAAGUAAAGUGAGGAUUUACGAAGCGACAGCGCACUCUCAUUGCGGGACCCGGCAGACUCACGGCACUUGUCACCCCAAAAUGUGUGGUUUCCUGUCAGUCCAGAGGUUCCUUUCUCUGUCUGUCCAAGGGCCACCGUUGUCUACAAGCUGUACGGUUUCCUGCCAUCUGGCCCGUGCCCCGCCUCCUCUGCGCGUAUCUAGCCACCUGCCUGCUGUAACACCAUGGCCCACUACUCGCUUUGUACAUGUAGAUCUGGACUGUGUAAACUGUCAAUAAUACACCAUCUGGCGUAUAA
Molecule: long non-coding RNA, 609 nt
Organism: Aethalodelphis obliquidens (Pacific white-sided dolphin)
Lineage: Eukaryota; Metazoa; Chordata; Mammalia; Artiodactyla; Delphinidae
Exons: 2
Source: RefSeq, a predicted model, not a curated record